This 486-nucleotide ribosomal RNA is filed under the name uncultured bacterium. RNAcentral's name for it is "bacterial SSU rRNA". It matches the Rfam family "Bacterial small subunit ribosomal RNA", at positions 28 to 522 of the family's 1533-position model. The record is from RNAcentral.
GAUGAACGCUGGCGGCGUGCCUAACACAUGCAAGUCGAGCGGGGUUUAGGGGAUGCUUGCAUCUUCUAAGCUUAGCGGCGGACGGGUGAGUAACACGUGGAUACCCUGCCUUACACAGGGGAACAACAAUGAGAAAUCAUUGCUAAAACCCCAUAAGCUCCCGGUGUCGCCUGACAGAGAGAGCAAAUAUGUAUAGGUGAAAGAGGGGGCCCCGUCUGAUUAGGUAGUUGGCAGGGUAAAGGCGUACCAAGGCUACGAUCAGUAGCCGACCUGAGAGGGUGAUCUGCCACAUUGGGACUGAGACACGGCCCAAACUCCUACGGGAGGCAGCAGUGAGGAAUAUUGCACAAUGGGCGCAAGCCUGAUGCAGCAACGCCGCGUGAAGGAUGAAGGUUUUCGGAUCGUAAACUUCUUUAGGCAGGGAAGAAACAAAUGACGGUACCUGCAGAAUAAGCCCCGGCUAACUACGUGCCAGCCGCCGCCGUA